RNAcentral lists this ribosomal RNA (468 nucleotides) under uncultured bacterium. Its description in RNAcentral is "partial 16S ribosomal RNA". It matches the Rfam family "Bacterial small subunit ribosomal RNA", at positions 28 to 507 of the family's 1533-position model. The record is from RNAcentral.
GACGAACGCUGGCGGCGUGCUUAACACAUGCAAGUCGAACGGAAAGGCCCUGCUUUUGUGGGGUGCUCGAGUGGCGAACGGGUGAGUAACACGUGAGUAACCUGCCCUUGACUUUGGGAUAACUUCAGGAAACUGGGGCUAUUACCGGAUAGGAGCUCCUGCUGCAUGGUGGGGGUUGGAAAGUUUCGGCGGUUGGGGAUGGACUCGCGGCUUAUCAGCUUGUUGGCGGGGUAGUGGCUUACCAAGGCUUUGACGGGUAGCCGGCCUGAGAGGGUGACCGGCCACAUUGGGACUGAGAUACGGCCCAGACUCCUACGGGAGGCAGCAGUGGGGAAUAUUGCACAAUGGGCGGAAGCCUGAUGCAGCAACGCCGCGUGCGGGAUGACGGCCUUCGGGUUGUAAACCGCUUUCGCCUGUGACGAAGCGUGAGUGACGGUAAUGGGUAAAGAAGCACCGGCUAACUACGUG